GUUAUCUAAAUUUUAGGAGAUUACUUAGCUAUCUAAAUUUUAGAAAUAUAAUUACAGUUAGCAAAAUUUAAGUUGUCUUCUUUUUGUUUCACAAAUUCUUGUCAACACAAUUUUCAAGAAACAAACAAAGAAAAAAGAGAAGUUUUUGCCCGCGUUGUACGAAUCAAAGUAGUUGCUGACCUAAGAUGGGCUAUGAAGCUGGUGGUACAUCCCGUGAUGGGCGUGAUUAAGAUAGCAAACAAUGGAAAUGCUUCAUGAAGGAUUGUUCUGGUGAUUAUUGCAAAAGAGCUUAGAAAAAAUAGUUAUAAUAUUAAUUAAUGUAAUAUCAUUAAUUAAUAUUGUAAAUGAAUCCAUAAUAAAUGCCAUUGUUUGCCAUAAUUUUAUAAUAUAUGUUUUUCUUGAA
Capsicum annuum is the source of this 403-nucleotide long non-coding RNA. RefSeq lists it as uncharacterized. Lineage: Eukaryota; Viridiplantae; Streptophyta; Magnoliopsida; Solanales; Solanaceae. The transcript has 3 exons. The record is from RefSeq and is a predicted model, not a curated record.